CCUACGGGUGGCAGCAGUGAGGAAUAUUGGUCAAUGGUCGGGAGACUGAACCAGCCAAGCCGCGUGAGGGAUGAAGGUACAGAGUAUCGUAAACCUCUUUUGUCAGGGAACAAAGGCGGGGACGUGUCCCCUGAUGAGUGUACCUGAAGAAAAAGCAUCGGCUAACUCCGUGCCAGCAGCCGCGGUAAUACGGAGGAUGCGAGCGUUAUCCGGCUUUAUUGGGUUUAAAGGGUGCGCAGGCGGUCUGUUAAGUCAGCGGUCAAAGCCCGGGGCUCAACCCCUGCACGCCGUUGAAACUGGCAGACUCGAGUUGGAGAGAGGUAUGCGGAAUGCGCGGUGUAGCGGUGAAAUGCAUAGAGAUCGCGCAGAACUCCGAUUGCGAAGGCAGCAUGCCGGCUCCACACUGACGCUGAGGCACGAAAGCGUGGGUAUCGAACAGGAUUAGAUACCCCGGUAGUC
Molecule: ribosomal RNA, 459 nt
Filed under: uncultured bacterium
Lineage: Bacteria
Description: partial 16S ribosomal RNA
Rfam family: Bacterial small subunit ribosomal RNA
Source: RNAcentral